RNAcentral lists this transfer RNA (85 nucleotides) under Felis catus (domestic cat). It matches the Rfam family "tRNA". Rfam says of the family: Transfer RNA (tRNA) molecules are approximately 80 nucleotides in length. Their secondary structure includes four short double-helical elements and three loops (D, anti-codon, and T loops). Further hydrogen bonds mediate the characteristic L-shaped molecular structure. tRNAs have two regions of fundamental functional importance: the anti-codon, which is responsible for specific mRNA codon recognition, and the 3' end, to which the tRNAs corresponding amino acid is attached (by aminoacyl-tRNA synthetases). tRNAs cope with the degeneracy of the genetic code in two manners: having more than one tRNA (with a specific anti-codon) for a particular amino acid; and 'wobble' base-pairing, i.e. permitting non-standard base-pairing at the 3rd anti-codon position. The record is from Rfam by way of RNAcentral. Lineage: Eukaryota; Metazoa; Chordata; Mammalia; Carnivora; Felidae.
GCCUGGGUGGCUCUGUCGCUUAAGCGUCUGACUUCGACUCAGGUCAUGAUCUCAUGGUUCGUGGGUUCAAGCCCCACAUCAGGCU